CUGUGGCCAAAUCACCCAGAACGCACCCAAUCUUGCAAAAUCUCAAAAGCUAAGCAGGUUUGAGCCUGGAUAUUGCAUGGAUGGGUGACCACCAUGCACAAACAGGUUAUCAUAUAGG
Molecule: ribosomal RNA, 118 nt
Filed under: Petromyzon marinus (sea lamprey)
Lineage: Eukaryota; Metazoa; Chordata; Hyperoartia; Petromyzontiformes; Petromyzontidae
Source: RNAcentral